CGAGACCUCAGGUCAGACGGGGCUACCCGCUGAGUUUAAGCAUAUCAAUAAGCGGAGAAAAGAAACUAACAAGGAUUCCCU
Molecule: ribosomal RNA, 81 nt
Filed under: Lonchocarpus galeottianus
Lineage: Eukaryota; Viridiplantae; Streptophyta; Magnoliopsida; Fabales; Fabaceae
Description: partial 28S ribosomal RNA
Rfam family: Eukaryotic large subunit ribosomal RNA
Source: RNAcentral